Molecule: transfer RNA, 91 nt
Filed under: Gammaproteobacteria bacterium
Lineage: Bacteria; Pseudomonadati; Pseudomonadota; Gammaproteobacteria
Also listed under: 1 other name
Description: tRNA-Ser
Rfam family: tRNA
About the family: Transfer RNA (tRNA) molecules are approximately 80 nucleotides in length. Their secondary structure includes four short double-helical elements and three loops (D, anti-codon, and T loops).
Source: RNAcentral
GGAGAGGUGGCAGAGCGGUUGAAUGCACUGGUCUUGAAAACCAGCAAGGGUUUAUAGCCCUUCGUGGGUUCAAAUCCCACCCUCUCCGCCA